RNAcentral lists this ribosomal RNA (497 nucleotides) under uncultured bacterium. RNAcentral's name for it is "partial 16S ribosomal RNA". It matches the Rfam family "Bacterial small subunit ribosomal RNA", at positions 28 to 507 of the family's 1533-position model. The record is from RNAcentral.
GAUGAACGCUGGCGGCGUGCCUAAUACAUGCAAGUCGAGCGAACAGACGAGGAGCUUGCUCCUCUGACGUUAGCGGCGGACGGGUGAGUAACACGUGGAUAACCUACCUAUAAGACUGGGAUAACUUCGGGAAACCGGAGCUAAUACCGGAUAAUAUCUUGAACCGCAUGGUUCAAUAGUGAAAGACGGUUUUGCUGUCACUUAUAGAUGGAUCCGCGCCGCAUUAGCUAGUUGGUAAGUUAACGGCUUAUCAAGGCAACGAUGCGUAGCCGACCUGAGAGGGUGAUCGGCCACACUGGAACUGGAACACGGACCAGACUCCUGCGGGAGGCAGCAGUAGGGAACCGGCCGCAAUGGGCGAAAGCCUGACGGAGCGACGCCGCGUGAGUGAUGAAGGUCUUCGGAUCGUAAAACUCUGUUAUUAGGGAAGAACAAAUGUGUAAGUAACUAUGCACGUCUUGACGGUACCUAAUAAGAAAGCCACGGCUAACUACGUG